CUACGGGUGGCACCAGUCGAGAAUCUUCCGCAAUGGGCGAAAGCCUGACGGAGCAAUGCCGCGUGCAGGAUGAAGGCCUUCGGGUCGUAAACUGCUGUCACCGGGGAUGAAUAAUGACAGUACCCGGGGAGGAAGUCACGGCUAACUACGUGCCAGCAGCCGCGGUAAUACGUAGGUGACAAGCGUUGUUCGGAUUUAUUGGGCGUAAAGGGUUCGUAGGAUGUUGAUUAAGAUUGGUGUGAAAUCCCAAGGCUCAACCUUGGAACUGCAUUGAUUACUGAUGAACUAGAGUGUCGUAGAGGAAAGCGGAAUUCCAGGUGUAGCGGUGGAAUGCGUAGAUAUCUGGAAGAACACCGACAGCGAAGGCAGCUUUCUGGGCGAUAACUGACUCUGAGGAACGAAAGCAUGGGGAGCAAACAGGAUUAGAUACCCCAGUAGUC
This 440-nucleotide ribosomal RNA is filed under the name uncultured bacterium. RNAcentral's name for it is "partial 16S ribosomal RNA". It matches the Rfam family "Bacterial small subunit ribosomal RNA", at positions 339 to 795 of the family's 1533-position model. The record is from RNAcentral.